UCUCCGUAGGUGAACCUGCGGAGGGAUCAUUAACACGUUCCAAACCCCAACUACUAUCAACCCAACUGUGAAGCUUUGUAUCUGCCGACAGUCGCCUCGAGCUCGACGGUGCGAGCUGAGAUCCAGGAUGAAGGUGAAAGGCAAGAGAGAGCGAUCUCUCUCCGUUUCAUACGGAUCGAGCACGCUAUACAUGGUGGCCUUCUCUCUGUCUCUCUCUGGGCAGAGGAGCUGCCAGCCGUCCUCGGGGAUGACUUGGCCCAACCUAUAUACGAACAGCAGCGAGUCAUCGGCUGCUGCGUGUAUAUCCACACGACACUUUUUCUGUUCGAACCCAGGUGCGGUUAUAUAUAUCUGCUCUUGGGUCACGAUCGGCAAAAAUGACUUAAACCCUUUUCAUGACCUCCACCUCUUGUGUGGUGGUCUUCUCUCACUGACCUCUAUCUCUGUAUAUGUCAGUGCUGUCAGAUAUGAAACUGAGAACAACUCUUAGCAAUGGAUAUCUUGGUUCUC
RNAcentral lists this unclassified non-coding RNA (510 nucleotides) under plant metagenome. RNAcentral's name for it is "partial contains small subunit ribosomal RNA, internal transcribed spacer 1, and 5.8S ribosomal RNA". The record is from RNAcentral.